CCUACGGGCGGCAGCAGUGGGGAAUAUUGGACAAUGGGCGAAAGCCUGAUCCAGCCAUGCCGCGUGUGUGAAGAAGGCCUUCGGGUUGUAAAGCACUUUCAGUGGGGAAGAAAGCCUUGGGGCUAAUACCCUCGAGGAAGGACAUCACCCACAGAAGAAGCACCGGCUAACUCCGUGCCAGCAGCCGCGGUAAUACGGAGGGUGCGAGCGUUAAUCGGAAUUACUGGGCGUAAAGCGCGCGUAGGCGGUCUGAUAAGCCGGUUGUGAAAGCCCCGGGCUCAACCUGGGAACGGCAUCCGGAACUGUCAGGCUAGAGUGCAGGAGAGGAAGGUAGAAUUCCCGGUGUAGCGGUGAAAUGCGUAGAGAUCGGGAGGAAUACCAGUGGCGAAGGCGGCCUUCUGGACUGACACUGGCGCUGAGGUGCGAAAGCGUGGGUAGCAAACAGGAUUAGAUACCCCAGUAGUC
Molecule: ribosomal RNA, 465 nt
Filed under: Vreelandella stevensii
Lineage: Bacteria; Pseudomonadati; Pseudomonadota; Gammaproteobacteria; Oceanospirillales; Halomonadaceae
Description: partial 16S ribosomal RNA
Rfam family: Bacterial small subunit ribosomal RNA
Source: RNAcentral